RNAcentral lists this ribosomal RNA (496 nucleotides) under uncultured bacterium. RNAcentral's name for it is "partial 16S ribosomal RNA". It matches the Rfam family "Bacterial small subunit ribosomal RNA", at positions 28 to 506 of the family's 1533-position model. The record is from RNAcentral.
GAUGAACGCUGGCGGCGUGCCUAAUACAUGCAAGUCGAGCGAACAGACGAGGAGCUUGCUCCUUUGACGUUAGCGGCGGACGGGUGAGUAACACGUAGGUAACCUACCUAUAAGACUGGGAUAACUUCGGGAAACCGGAGCUAAUACCGGAUAAUAUUUCGAACCGCAUGGUUCGAUAGUGAAAGAUGGCUUUGCUAUCACUUAUAGAUGGACCUGCGCCGUAUUAGCUAGUUGGUAAGGUAACGGCUUACCAAGGCAACGAUACGUAGCCGACCUGAGAGGGUGAUCGGCCACACUGGAACUGAGACACGGUCCAGGCUCCUACGGGAGGCAGCAGUAGGGAAUCUUCCGCAAUGGGCGAAAGCCUGACGGAGCAACGCCGCGUGAGUGAUGAAGGGCUUCGGAUCGUAAAACUCUGUUAUUAGGGAAGAACAAACGUGUAAGUAACGGUGCACGUCUUGACGGUACCGAAUCAGAAAGCCACGGCUAACUACGU